This 328-nucleotide ribosomal RNA is filed under the name uncultured bacterium. RNAcentral describes it as "bacterial SSU rRNA". It matches the Rfam family "Bacterial small subunit ribosomal RNA", at positions 94 to 438 of the family's 1533-position model. The record is from RNAcentral.
AGUGGCGGACGGGUGAGUAACGCGUGAGAAUCUGCCUUUAGGAUGGGGACAACAGUUGGAAACGACUGCUAAUACCCGAUGUGACGAAAGGUGAAAGAUUUAUCGCCUGGAGAUGAGCUCGCGUCUGAUUAGCUAGAUGGUGUGGUAACGGCGCACCUUGGCGACGAUCUGUAACUGGUCUGAGAGGAUGAGCAGUCACACUGGGACUGAGACACGGCCCAGACUCCUACGGGAGGCAGCAGUGGGGAAUUUUCCGCAAUGGGCGCAAAAGCCUGACGGAGCAAUACCGCGUGAGGGAGGAAGGCUCUUGGGUCGUAAACCUCUUUUA